UGUUGGGGAAGGAGACUUCUUUAGUACCGCAGCUAACGCGUGAAGUUGACCGCCUGGGGAGUACGGUCGCAAGAUUAAAACUCAAAGGAAUUGACGGGGACCCGCACAAGCGGUGGAUUAUGUGGAUUAAUUCGAUGCAACGCGAAAAACCUUACCUACCCUUGACAUGCCAGGAAGAUUCCAGAGAUGGGAUUGUGCCCGAAAGGGAACCUGGACACAGGUGCUGCAUGGCUGUCGUCAGCUCGUGUCGUGAGAUGUUGGGUUAAGUCCCGCAACGAGCGCAACCCUUGCCAAUAAUUGCCAUCAUUCAGUUGGGCACUUUAUUGGGACUGCCGGUGAUAAACCGGAGGAAGGUGGGGAUGACGUCAAGUCCUCAUGGCCCUUAUGGGUAGGGCUUCACACGUAAUACAAUGGUCGGUACAGAGGGUUGCCAACCCGCGAGGGGGAGCCAAUCCCAGAAAGCCGAUCGUAGUCCGGAUUGUUCUCUGCAACUCGAGAGCAUGAAGUCGGAAUCGCUAGUAAUCGCGGAUCAGCAUGUCGCGGUGAAUACGUUCCCGGGUCUUGUACACACCGCCCGUCACACCAUGGGAGUGGAAUCUGCCAGAAGUAGGUAGCCUAACCGCAAGGAGGGCGCUUACCACGGUGGGUUUCAUGACUGGGGUGAAGUCGUAACAAGGU
RNAcentral lists this ribosomal RNA (678 nucleotides) under uncultured bacterium. RNAcentral's name for it is "bacterial SSU rRNA". It matches the Rfam family "Bacterial small subunit ribosomal RNA", at positions 821 to 1497 of the family's 1533-position model. The record is from RNAcentral.